This 494-nucleotide ribosomal RNA is filed under the name uncultured bacterium. RNAcentral's name for it is "partial 16S ribosomal RNA". It matches the Rfam family "Bacterial small subunit ribosomal RNA", at positions 28 to 507 of the family's 1533-position model. The record is from RNAcentral.
GACGAACGCUGGCGGCGUGCUUAACACAUGCAAGUCGAACGGUGAAGCGCCUUCCUUUUUGGUGGGUGUGGUGGAGUGGCGAACGGGUGAGUAACACGUGAGUAACCUGCCCUCUUCUUCUGGAUAACCGCAUGAAAGUGUGGCCAAUACGUGAUAUUCUGGUUCCGUCGCAUGAUGGGUCUGGGAAAGAUAUUGUUUCGGUUGGGGAUGGGCUCGCGGCCUAUCAGAUUGUUGGUGUGGUGAUGGCCUACCAAGGCGGUGACGGGUAGCCGGCCUGAGAGGGUGGGCGGUCACAUUGGGACGGAGACGCGGCCCGGACUCGUACGGGAGGCAGCGGAGGGGAGUGGAGCACUAUGCGCGGAAGGCUGGUGCAGCGAAGCCGCGUGAGGGAUGGAGGGCUGCGGUUUGUGAAGCUCAUUCGCUAGUGAAGCGGGCCUGCCUCGUCUAUGGGUGGGUUGACGGUAGCUGGUAAAGAAGCGCCGGCUAACUACGUG